RNAcentral lists this non-coding RNA (30 nucleotides) under Mus musculus (house mouse). The record is from RNAcentral. Lineage: Eukaryota; Metazoa; Chordata; Mammalia; Rodentia; Muridae.
UCCCUGAAGCUCCCUCAAAGGAUGUGCAAG